UGGGGAAUUUUGCACAAUGGGGGAAACCCUGAUGCAGCGACGCCGCGUGAUUUAGAAGGCCUUCGGGUUGUAAAAAUCUUUUCUAUGGGAAGAAAAUGACAGUACCAUAGGAAUAAGGACCGGCUAAUUACGUGCCAGCAGCCGCGGUAAUACGUAAGGUCCGAGCGUUGUCCGGAAUCUUUGGGCGUAAAGGGUACGUAGGCGGGUAAGCAAGUUAGAAGUGAAAUCCUGUAGCUCAACUACAGUAAGCUUUUAAAACUGCUCAUCUUGAGAUAUGGAAGGGAAAGUGGAAUUCCUAGUGUAGCGGUGAAAUGCGCAGAUAUUAGGAGGAAUACCGGUGGCGAAGGCGACUUUCUGGCCAUAAUCUGACGCUGAGGUACGAAAGCGUGGGUAGCAAACAGG
This 402-nucleotide ribosomal RNA is filed under the name Bacteroidota bacterium. RNAcentral describes it as "Bacteroidetes bacterium partial 16S ribosomal RNA". It matches the Rfam family "Bacterial small subunit ribosomal RNA", at positions 355 to 776 of the family's 1533-position model. Lineage: Bacteria; Pseudomonadati; Bacteroidota. The record is from RNAcentral.